UUCGGGGGCCGAGUAGAGUGGCGUCCGGGUGAGUAACACGUAGGUAAUCUACCUCUGGGUGGGGAAUAACGACCGGAAACGGUCGCUAAUACCGCAUAAUGCAGCGGCACCACAUGGUGACAGUUGUUAAAGCGGGGGAUCGCAAGACCUCGCGCCUAGAGAGGAGCCUGCGGCGGAUUAGCUAGUUGGCAGGGUAACGGCCUACCAAGGCAACGAUCCGUAGCCGGCCUGAGAGGGCGGUCGGCCACACUGGCACUGACACACGGGCCAGACUCCUACGGGAGGCAGCAGUCGGGAAUUUUGGGCAAUGGGCGAAGGCCUGACCCAGCAACGCCGCGUGAAGGAUGAAGUCUUUCGGGAUGUAAACUUCGUAAGAAUAGGAAGAAUAAAUGACGGUACUAUUUGUAAGGUCCGGCUAACUACGUGCCAGCAGCCGCGGUAAUACGUAGGGACCAAGCGUUGUUCGGAUUUACUGGGCGUAAAGGGCGCGUAGGCGGCGUGUUAAGUCAGCUGUGAAAUCUCCAAGCUUAACUUGGAACGGUCAGCUGAUACUGAUGUGCUAGAGUGCAGAAGGGGCAACCGGAAUUCUUGGUGUAGCGGUGAAAUGCGUAGAUAUCAAGAGGAACACCUGAGGUGAAGACGGGUUGCUGGGCUGACACUGACGCUGAGGCGCGAAAGCUAGGGUAGCAAACGGGAUUAGAUACCCCGGUAGUCCUAGCCCUAACGAUGAAUAC
This 734-nucleotide ribosomal RNA is filed under the name uncultured bacterium. Its description in RNAcentral is "bacterial SSU rRNA". It matches the Rfam family "Bacterial small subunit ribosomal RNA", at positions 78 to 816 of the family's 1533-position model. The record is from RNAcentral.